This is a long non-coding RNA of Falco peregrinus (peregrine falcon), 491 nucleotides long. RefSeq lists it as uncharacterized. The transcript is spliced from 3 exons. NCBI's taxonomy places the organism in Eukaryota, Metazoa, Chordata, Aves, Falconiformes, Falconidae. The record is from RefSeq and is a predicted model, not a curated record.
GCCCAGCCUGGAGAGCAGAAUCACAUUCCGACCUGGUGACUUUGAUUUUGAAAGAGGAGGGAUGAGGGAAAGACAGAGAGGGAGAAAAAAAGACAUUGGAUUGUGUCCCUAGAGAGCAGUUUCCAAAUGUGGCUCUAAUGAAGCAUCUAGAAUCUGCAUUCGGAGGCCGAAAAAGCACAGUGAUUGCAGCCCCCCCAGGAAGGUAGAAACACAAGCUACUCCUAAAACACCAGGAUCAGGACAUCAUCUUUCCCCAGCAACAUCUGGAAUAUUAACAGACUGGAGCAGGAUUGGAGUUGCAUUGGCUGAACCAAUCUCCGGCAGGAGCCUCCCCCCACUCGCAAGAAGGAAAAAGCAGCCGUGAACGUGAGGAGCAGCAGACUCACCGCUGCGUGACUCCAGUUUCAUGCCUGCACUUCUCCAUUGAUUUAUGGGGCAGCUCAUUUCCAGACCCACCUCCUUCAGGAGGAGGAACUUCAACUCGAUGUGAA